Molecule: ribosomal RNA, 498 nt
Filed under: uncultured bacterium
Lineage: Bacteria
Description: partial 16S ribosomal RNA
Rfam family: Bacterial small subunit ribosomal RNA
Source: RNAcentral
AUUGAACGCUGGCGGCAUGCCUUACACAUGCAAGUCGAACGGUAACGGGCCUUCGGGUGCCGACGAGUGGCGAACGGGUGAGUAAUGUAUCGGAACGUACCAUUGAGUGGGGGAUAACGUAGCGAAAGUUACGCUAAUACCGCAUAUUCUCUCCGGAGGAAAGCAGGGGACCGCAAGGCCUUGCGCUCUUUGAGCGGCCGAUAUCAGAUUAGCUAGUUGGUGGGGUAAAAGCUCACCAAGGCGACGAUCUGUAGCGGGUCUGAGAGGAUGAUCCGCCACACUGGAACUGAGACACGGUCCAGACUCCUACGGGAGGCAGCAGUGGGGAAUUUUGGACAAUGGGGGCAACCCUGAUCCAGCCAUGCCGCGUGAGUGAAGAAGGCCUUCGGGUUGUAAAGCUCUUUCAGCCGGGAAGAAAUCGCAUGGGCUAAUACCCCGUGCGGAUGACGGUACCGGAAUAAGAAGCACCGGCUAACUACGUGCCAGCCGCCGCGGUAA